Molecule: ribosomal RNA, 253 nt
Filed under: uncultured bacterium
Lineage: Bacteria
Description: partial 16S ribosomal RNA
Rfam family: Bacterial small subunit ribosomal RNA
Source: RNAcentral
UACGUAGGUGGCAAGCGUUGUCCGGAUUUACUGGGCGUAAAGGGCGUGCAGGCGGUUUGUUUAGUCUAGGGUGAAAGCUCCCGGCUUAACUGGGAGAGGUCCUUGGAUACUGGCAAUCUUGAGGGAGGCAGAGGAAAGUGGAAUUCCCGGUGUAGUGGUGAUAUGCGUAGAUAUCGGGAGGAACACCAGUGGCGAAGGCGGCUUUCUGGGCCUUACCUGACGCUGAGACGCGAAAGCGUGGGGAGCGAACCGG